Molecule: ribosomal RNA, 208 nt
Filed under: uncultured bacterium
Lineage: Bacteria
Description: partial 16S ribosomal RNA
Rfam family: Bacterial small subunit ribosomal RNA
Source: RNAcentral
AGCGCAGACGGUUAUUUAAGUCUGAAGUGAAAGCCCUCAGCUCAACUGAGGAAUUGCUUUGGAAACUGGAUGACUUGAGUGCAGUAGAGGAAAGUGGAACUCCAUGUGUAGCGGUGAAAUGCGUAGAUAUAUGGAAGAACACCAGUGGCGAAGGCGGCUUUCUGGACUGUAACUGACACUGAGGCUCGAAAGGCGUGGGGAGCAAACA